AUCGCUUCUCGGCCUUUUGGCUAAGAUCAAGUGUAGUAUCUGUUCUUAUCAGUUUAAUAUCUGAUACGUCCUCUAUCCAAGGACAAUGUAUGAAAUGGAUUUUUGGAAUAGGGAGAUGGAAUAGGGGCUUGCUCUGUCCACUCCAUGCAUUGGCCUGCAGUACCUCCAGGAACGGUGCACCAAAA
This 185-nucleotide small nuclear RNA is filed under the name Castor canadensis (American beaver). RNAcentral's name for it is "U2 spliceosomal RNA (ENSCCNG00000011336.1)". It matches the Rfam family "U2 spliceosomal RNA". Rfam says of the family: U2 is a small nuclear RNA (snRNA) component of the spliceosome (involved in pre-mRNA splicing). Complementary binding between U2 snRNA (in an area lying towards the 5' end but 3' to hairpin I) and the branchpoint sequence (BPS) of the intron results the bulging out of an unpaired adenosine, on the BPS, which initiates a nucleophilic attack at the intronic 5' splice site, thus starting the first of two transesterification reactions that mediate splicing. Lineage: Eukaryota; Metazoa; Chordata; Mammalia; Rodentia; Castoridae. The record is from Rfam by way of RNAcentral.